UACGUAGGCAGCGAGCGUUGUUCGGAAUUACUGGGCGUAAAGAGUGUGUAGGCGGUGUUCCCAGUCUGUUGUGAAAUCUCCCGGCUUAACUGGGAGGGUGCAGCGGAAACUAGAAUGCUAGAGCAUUGGAGAGGGUAGCAGAAUUCAUGGUGUAGCAGUGAAAUGCGUAGAUAUCAUGAGGAAUACCAGAGGCGAAGGCGGCUACCUGGACAAUUGCUGACGCUCAGGCACGAAAGCGUGGGGAGCAAAAGGG
This 253-nucleotide ribosomal RNA is filed under the name uncultured bacterium. RNAcentral's name for it is "partial 16S ribosomal RNA". It matches the Rfam family "Bacterial small subunit ribosomal RNA", at positions 524 to 776 of the family's 1533-position model. The record is from RNAcentral.